This 72-nucleotide transfer RNA is filed under the name bacterium. Its description in RNAcentral is "tRNA-Cys". It matches the Rfam family "tRNA". Rfam says of the family: Transfer RNA (tRNA) molecules are approximately 80 nucleotides in length. Their secondary structure includes four short double-helical elements and three loops (D, anti-codon, and T loops). The record is from RNAcentral. RNAcentral also lists the same sequence under 1 other name.
GGCACGGUGCCCGAGUGGUUAGGGGACGGUCUGCAAAACCGUUCAACGUGGGUUCGAAUCCCACCCGUGCCU